This 447-nucleotide ribosomal RNA is filed under the name uncultured bacterium. RNAcentral describes it as "bacterial SSU rRNA". It matches the Rfam family "Bacterial small subunit ribosomal RNA", at positions 343 to 793 of the family's 1533-position model. The record is from RNAcentral.
UGGAGGCAGCAGUGGGGAAUUUUGCGCAAUGGGCGAAAGCCUGACGCAGCAACGCCGCGUGGAGGAUGAAGGCCUUCGGGUCGUAAACUCCUGUCGAUGGGGACGAAAGCCUCGCAAGAGGUGUGACUGUACCCGUUGAGGAAGCCACGGCUAACUCCGUGCCAGCAGCCGCGGUAAUACGGAGGUGGCAAGCGUUGUUCGGAAUUACUGGGCGUAAAGGGCGCGUAGGCGGCGGAACAAGUCAGAUGUGAAAGCCCCGGGCUUAACUCGGGAAUUGCAUCUGAAACUGUUUUGCUUGAGUCCUGGAGGGGAUGGUGGAAUUCCCAGUGUAGCGGUGAAAUGCGUAGAUAUUGGGAGGAACACCUGCGGCGAAGGCGGCCAUCUGGACAGUGACUGACGCUGAGGCGCGAAAGCUAGGGGAGCGAACGGGAUUAGAUACCCCGGUAU